RNAcentral lists this ribosomal RNA (98 nucleotides) under Pogona vitticeps (central bearded dragon). The record is from RNAcentral. Lineage: Eukaryota; Metazoa; Chordata; Lepidosauria; Squamata; Agamidae.
UAUCAUGUGGAAUACAGCAGUCUCAUUUGAUUUCAGAAGCUAAGCCGGGUUGGGCCUGUUUAGUAUUUGGAUGGAAGAUCACCAGGGAUUUCCAGGUA